RNAcentral lists this ribosomal RNA (300 nucleotides) under uncultured Bacillus sp. RNAcentral's name for it is "bacterial SSU rRNA". It matches the Rfam family "Bacterial small subunit ribosomal RNA", at positions 495 to 795 of the family's 1533-position model. Lineage: Bacteria; Bacillati; Bacillota; Bacilli; Caryophanales; Bacillaceae. The record is from RNAcentral.
GGUGAGUCGUGGCCGACGGCAGGGGUAAAACGGGGGGGGCAAACGGUGAGAGGAUACAGUGGGUGGAGAGCGGACGGAGGGGGGCGGUUAGGUCGGAGGGGAAAGCAUCGGUCUUAACCCGGGAAGGGCAGCCGAAACUGGUGGGCUGGAGUACGGAAGAGGGGCUCGGAAUUCCCGGGGUAGAGGUGAAAGUCGUAGAUAUCGGGAGGAACACCAGUGGCGAAGGCGGAGACCUGGGCCGAUACUGACGCUGAGGUGCGAAAGCGUGGGGAGCAAACAGGAUUAGAUACCCCGGUAGUC